UACGUAGGGUGCGAGCGUUAAUCGGAAUUACUGGGCGUAAAGCGUGCGCAGGCGGUCUGUUAAGACCGAUGUGAAAUCCCCGGGCUUAACCUGGGAACUGCAUUGGUGACUGGCAGGCUUUGAGUGUGGCAGAGGGAGGUAGAAAUUCCACGUGUAGCAGUGAAAUGCGUAGAGAUGUGGAGGAAUACCGAUGGCGAAGGCAGCCUCCUGGGCCAACACUGACGCUCAUGCACGAAAGCGUGGGGAGCAAACAGG
RNAcentral lists this ribosomal RNA (255 nucleotides) under uncultured bacterium. Its description in RNAcentral is "partial 16S ribosomal RNA". It matches the Rfam family "Bacterial small subunit ribosomal RNA", at positions 524 to 776 of the family's 1533-position model. The record is from RNAcentral.